CACGGCGCACGGGUGCGUAACACGUGGGUAACCUGCCCUUUGAUGGGGAAUAACCCCGCGAAAGCGGGGCUAAUUCCGCAUAAGAUCCGCAAGGAUGAAAGCCGUAAGGCGUCGAAGGAGGGGCCUGCGCACGAUUAGCUAGUUGGUAGGGUAACGGCCUACCAAGGCUUUGAUCGUUAGCUGGUCUGAGAGGACGGCCAGCCACACUGGAACUGAGACACGGUCCAGACUCCUACGGGAGGCAGCAGUGGGGAAUCUUGCACAAUGGGCGAAAGCCUGAUGCAGCGACGCCGCGUGGGGGAUGAAGCUUCUCGGAGUGUAAACCCCUUUCGACCCGGACGAAUACCUCGCAAGAGGGGUGACGGUACGGGUAUAAGAAGCCCCGGCUAACUACGUGCCAGCAGCCGCGGUAAGACGUGGGGGGCCAGCGUUGCUCGGAAUUACUGGGUGUAAAGGGUCAGUAGGCGGUGUGGCAAGUCGGGAGUGAAAUCUCUGGGCUUAACUCAGAGACUGCUUCCGAAACUGCUGUGCUUGAGUAUGGGAGAGGCGCGUGGAAUUGCAGGUGUAGCGGUGAAAUGCGUAGAUAUCUGCAGGAACACCCGUGGCGAAAGCGGCGCGCUGGACCAUAACUGACGCUGAAUGACGAAAGCUAGGGGAGCAAACAGGAUUAGAUACCCUGGUAGUCCUAGCCCUAAACGAUCAGGACUUGGGGUGCCACCCGUUCGGGUGUCGUCCCGGAGCUAACGCGUUAAGUCCUGCACCUGGGGAGUACGGUCGCAAGACUGAAACUCAAAGGAAUUGACGGGGGCCCGCACAAGCGGUGGAACAUGUGGUUCAAUUCGA
RNAcentral lists this ribosomal RNA (843 nucleotides) under uncultured bacterium. RNAcentral's name for it is "bacterial SSU rRNA". It matches the Rfam family "Bacterial small subunit ribosomal RNA", at positions 94 to 954 of the family's 1533-position model. The record is from RNAcentral.